This 253-nucleotide ribosomal RNA is filed under the name uncultured bacterium. Its description in RNAcentral is "partial 16S ribosomal RNA". It matches the Rfam family "Bacterial small subunit ribosomal RNA", at positions 524 to 776 of the family's 1533-position model. The record is from RNAcentral.
UACGUAGGGACCAAGCGUUGUUCGGAUUUACUGGGCGUAAAGGGCGCGUAGGCGGCAUGACAAGUCACUUGUGAAAUCUCCGGGCUUAACUCGGAACGGUCAAGUGAUACUGUCGCGCUAGAGUGCGGAAGGGGCAAUCAGAAUUCUUGGUGUAGCGGUGAAAUGCGUAGAUAUCGGGAGGAACACCUGUGGCGAAAGCGGCGCACUGGACCAUAACUGACGCUUAUGCGCGAAAGCUAGGGGAGCAAACAGG